AUGCAGUCGAACGAUGAAGCCCUUCGGGGUGGAUUAGUGGCGAACGGGUGAGUAACACGUGGGCAAUCUGCCCUUCACUCUGGGACAAGCCCUGGAAACGGGGUCUAAUACCGGAUAACACUCUGUCCCGCAUGGGACGGGGUUAAAAGCUCCGGCGGUGAAGGAUGAGCCCGCGGCCUAUCAGCUUGUUGGUGGGGUAAUGGCCUACCAAGGCGACGACGGGUAGCCGGCCUGAGAGGGCGACCGGCCACACUGGGACUGAGACACGGCCCAGACUCCUACGGGAGGCAGCAGUGGGGAAUAUUGCACAAUGGGCGAAAGCCUGAUGCAGCGACGCCGCGUGAGGGAUGACGGCCUUCGGGUUGUAAACCUCUUUCAGCAGGGAAGAAGCGAAAGUGACGGUACCUGCAGAAGAAGCGCCGGCUAACUACGUGCCAGCAGCCGCGGUAAUACGUAGGGCGCAAGCGUUGUCCGGAAUUAUUGGGCGUAAAGAGCUCGUAGGCGGYUUGUCACGUCGGAUGUGAAAGCCCGGGGCUUAACCCCGGGUCUGCAUUCGAUACGGGCUAGCUAGAGUGUGGUAGGGGAGAUCGGAAUUCCUGGUGUAGCGGUGAAAUGCGCAGAUAUCAGGAGGAACACCGGUGGCGAAGGCGGAUCUCUGGGCCAUUACUGACKCUGAGGAGCGAAAGCGUGGGGAGCGAACAGGAUUAGAUACCCUGGUAGUCCACGCCGUAAACGUUGGGAACUAGGUGUUGGCGACAUUCCACGUCGUCGGUGCCGCAGCUAACGCAUUAAGUUCCCCGCCUGGGG
RNAcentral lists this ribosomal RNA (807 nucleotides) under Streptomyces sp. Its description in RNAcentral is "bacterial SSU rRNA". Lineage: Bacteria; Bacillati; Actinomycetota; Actinomycetes; Kitasatosporales; Streptomycetaceae. The record is from RNAcentral.